RNAcentral lists this ribosomal RNA (537 nucleotides) under Amage sculpta. Its description in RNAcentral is "eukaryotic LSU rRNA". The record is from RNAcentral. Lineage: Eukaryota; Metazoa; Annelida; Polychaeta; Terebellida; Ampharetidae.
GUUUAGAGGUAAACGGAUGGGACCGCAAGGCUCCCCGCGGGAUUCAACCUUUCCGGUCGUCGAUCGGCCGCGCGUCUCGAUCCGUAYGGACGGGGCCGCGGUCGAUGUCGGCGUCGGGGGGCGCACUUUCCGCGGGACACUCGCCAGGACCGGUUCGUGGGUGGCCGCAAGCCGCCGGGAGCAAGGUAGCCGUCCCCGGACGGUGCUUAGGCUCUCGCGGUGGGCCGCACCCGCGGACCGAGGAACACGCCCGCCGUGGCACGGGCCCCCCGUCCUCGCGCCCGAGACGACUGGCGCGGACUGUUCGCAGUGCUCGCCGACCGCCGGACGCGCAGUGGCGGGGACCUCCCGUGCCGACACCGAGGGUCUCUGGCUAAUCGGUCGGCACCCCAUCCGACCCGUCUUGAAACACGGACCAAGGAGUCUAACAUGUGCGCGAGUCACUGGGUGGCAAACCUAUGGGCGCAAUGAAGGUGAAGUCCCGCUCGUCGGGAUCAGGUAGGAUCCCCGCCCUCGGGCGGGGCGCACUACCGGCCC